RNAcentral lists this ribosomal RNA (237 nucleotides) under uncultured Lactobacillus sp. Its description in RNAcentral is "partial 16S ribosomal RNA". It matches the Rfam family "Bacterial small subunit ribosomal RNA", at positions 122 to 354 of the family's 1533-position model. Lineage: Bacteria; Bacillati; Bacillota; Bacilli; Lactobacillales; Lactobacillaceae. The record is from RNAcentral.
UAACCUGCCCAAGAGAUCGGGAUAACACCUGGAAACAGAUGCUAAUACCGGAUAACAACAGAUGAUGCCUAUCAACUGUUUAAAAGAUGGUUCUGCUAUCACUCUGGAUGGACCUGCGGUGCAUUAGCUAGUUGGUAGGGUAACGGCCUACCAAGGCGAUGAUGCAUAGCCGAGUUGAGAGACUGAUCGGCCACAUUGGGACUGAGACACGGCCCAAACUCCUACGGGAGGCAGCAG